RNAcentral lists this ribosomal RNA (253 nucleotides) under uncultured bacterium. Its description in RNAcentral is "partial 16S ribosomal RNA". It matches the Rfam family "Bacterial small subunit ribosomal RNA", at positions 524 to 776 of the family's 1533-position model. The record is from RNAcentral.
GACGUAGGGGGCCAGCGUUGUUCGGAAUUACUGGGUGUAAAGGGUUCGUAGGCGGUGCGGCAAGUUGGGAGUGAAAUCUCUGGGCUUAACCCAGAGGCUGCUUCCAAAACUGCUGUGCUUGAGUGUGGGAGAGGCGCGUGGAAUUGCAGGUGUAGCGGUGAAAUGCGUAGAUAUGCGGAGGAACACCGAUGGCGAAGGCAAUCCCCUGGACCUGUACUGACGCUCACGCGCGAAAGCGUGGGGAGCAAACAGG